RNAcentral lists this ribosomal RNA (460 nucleotides) under uncultured bacterium. RNAcentral describes it as "partial 16S ribosomal RNA". It matches the Rfam family "Bacterial small subunit ribosomal RNA", at positions 338 to 795 of the family's 1533-position model. The record is from RNAcentral.
CCUACGGGCGGCAGCAGUGAGGAAUAUUGGUCAAUGGCCGGAAGGCUGAACCAGCCAUGCCGCGUGAAGGUCAGUGCCCUAUGGGCGUUAAACUUCUUUUGUGCGGGAGCAAUAAUGGUCACGUGUGGCCAGACGAGAGUACCGUACGAAUAAGCAUCGGCUAACUACGUGCCAGCAGCCGCGGUAAUACGGGGGGUGCAAGCGUUAUGCGGAUUUAUUGGGGUUAAAGGGUGCGUAGGCUGGGAGGUAAGUCGGCGGUGGAGAGCCCCCGCACAACGGGGUGAAGUGCCUGUGAUACUGCCUUGCUGGAAUGCGGAUGCGGUAGGAGGAAUGUGUGGUGUAGCGGUGAAAUGCAUAGAUAUCACACAGAACACCGAUUGCGAAGGCAUCUCACGAAGCCGCGAUUGACGCUGAUGCACGAAAGCGUGGGUAUCAAACAGGAUUAGAUACCCCUGUAGUC